UAAGACGAAGGAUCCAAGCGUUAUCCGGAUUUAUUGGGUUUAAAGGGUGCGUAGGCGGAUUGAUAAGUCAGUGGUGAAAGCCUGCAGCUUAACUGCAGAACUGCCAUUGAUACUGUCAAUCUUGAAUAUGUUUGAUGUGGGCGGAAUAUGACAUGUAGCGGUGAAAUGCUUAGAUAUGUCAUAGAACACCGAUUGCGAAGGCAGCUCACAAAGCCAUUAUUGACGCUGAGGCACGAAAGCGUGGGGAUCAAACAGGAUUAGAUACCCUGGUAGUCCACGCUGUAAACUUUGAUCACUCGCUGUUGGCGAUACACUGUCAGCGGCUAAGCGAAAGCGUUAAGUGAUCCACCUGGGGAGUACGAUCGCAAGAUUG
Molecule: ribosomal RNA, 373 nt
Filed under: uncultured bacterium
Lineage: Bacteria
Description: bacterial SSU rRNA
Rfam family: Bacterial small subunit ribosomal RNA
Source: RNAcentral